GAAACAGUAGCUUAAUCGGAAAAGCAUACCAGAAUGAUGGAGAGUCACAGGUUCGAUCCCUGUCUGUUUCU
Molecule: transfer RNA, 71 nt
Filed under: Chryseobacterium pennae
Lineage: Bacteria; Pseudomonadati; Bacteroidota; Flavobacteriia; Flavobacteriales; Weeksellaceae
Also listed under: 1 other name
Description: Chryseobacterium sp. 1_F178 tRNA-OTHER
Rfam family: tRNA
About the family: Transfer RNA (tRNA) molecules are approximately 80 nucleotides in length. Their secondary structure includes four short double-helical elements and three loops (D, anti-codon, and T loops).
Source: RNAcentral